This 164-nucleotide small RNA is filed under the name Pseudobutyrivibrio ruminis. Its description in RNAcentral is "Clostridiales-1 RNA". It matches the Rfam family "Clostridiales-1 RNA". Lineage: Bacteria; Bacillati; Bacillota; Clostridia; Lachnospirales; Lachnospiraceae. The record is from Rfam by way of RNAcentral.
UGAUAAAAGAGUCAAAAGUCAAAAAUGAGUUUUAACUUGUUAAAAUCUCAUUUUGGCUUAGGACUCCAAACAAUAUGAGGAAGAUUGAUUUUUGUUAAAAAAUCAAGUGAUUCCGAAUAUUGUUUAAAACAUCCUGAGAGUGAAACGAAAGGAUGUUUUUAUCA